GCUGGGCAUGGUGAUGCAUGCUUGUAGUCUCAGCUACUUAGGAGUCUCAGGCAGGAGGAUCACUUGAGUCCAGGAGUUCUGGGUUGUAGAAAUCUAUGCUGAUCAAGUGUCCACACUAAUUUCAGCAUCAACAGGGUGACCUCCAGGGAGCGGAAGACCACCACGUUGCAUGAGGAAGAGUGAACCAGCCCAGGUCUGAAACAGAGCAGGUCAGAUUUCCCGUACUGGUCAGCAGUAGGAUCCCACCUGUGAAUAACCACUAUGCCCUGGCCUGAGCAGCAUAGUGAGACCCUGUCUCUU
Molecule: unclassified non-coding RNA, 300 nt
Organism: Callithrix jacchus (white-tufted-ear marmoset)
Lineage: Eukaryota; Metazoa; Chordata; Mammalia; Primates; Cebidae
Rfam family: Metazoan signal recognition particle RNA
About the family: The signal recognition particle (SRP) is a universally conserved ribonucleoprotein. It is involved in the co-translational targeting of proteins to membranes. The eukaryotic SRP consists of a 300-nucleotide 7S RNA and six proteins: SRPs 72, 68, 54, 19, 14, and 9.
Source: Ensembl